GAUGAACGCUGGCGGCGUGCCUAAUACAUGCAAGUCGAGCGAACAGACGAGGAGCUUGCUCCUUCGACGUUAGCGGCGGACGGGUGAGUAACACGUAGGUAACCUACCUAUAAGACUGGGAUAACUUCGGGAAACCGGAGCUAAUACCGGAUAAUAUUUCGAACCGCAUGGUUCGAUAGUGAAAGAUGGCUUUGCUAUCACUUAUAGAUGGACCUGCGCCGUAUUAGCUAGCUGGUAAGGUAACGGCUUACCAAGGCAACGAUACGUAGCCGACCUGAGAGGGUGAUCGGCCACACUGGAACUGAGACACGGUCCAGACUCCUACGGGAGGCAGCAGUAGGGAAUCUUCCGCAAUGGGCGAAAGCCUGACGGAGCAACGCCGCGUGAGUGAUGAAGGUCUUCGGAUCGUAAAACUCUGUUAUUAGGGAAGAACAAACGUGCAAGUAACUGUGCACGUCUUGACGGUACCUAAUCAGAAAGCCACGGCUAACUACGUG
Molecule: ribosomal RNA, 497 nt
Filed under: uncultured bacterium
Lineage: Bacteria
Description: partial 16S ribosomal RNA
Rfam family: Bacterial small subunit ribosomal RNA
Source: RNAcentral